AACGAACGCUGGCGGCAUGCCUAACACAUGCAAGUCGAACGAGACCUUCGGGUCUAGUGGCGCACGGGUGCGUAACGCGUGGGAACCUGCCCUUAGGUUCGGAAUAACUCCCCGAAAGGGGUGCUAAUACCGGAUAAUGUCAUCGGACCAAAGAUUUAUCGCCUUUGGAUGGGCCCGCGUUGGAUUAGCUAGUUGGUAGGGUAAAAGCCUACCAAGGCGACGAUCCAUAGCUGGUCUGAGAGGAUGAUCAGCCACACUGGGACUGAGACACGGCCCAGACUCCUACGGGGGGCAGCAGUGGGGAAUAUUGGGCAAUGGGCGAAAGCCUGAUCCAGCAAUGCCGGGGGAGUGAUGAAGGCCUUAGGGUUGUAAAGCUCUUUUACCCGGGAUGAUAAUGACAGUACCGGGAGAAUAAGCUCCGGCUAACUCCGUG
RNAcentral lists this ribosomal RNA (433 nucleotides) under uncultured bacterium. Its description in RNAcentral is "partial 16S ribosomal RNA". It matches the Rfam family "Bacterial small subunit ribosomal RNA", at positions 29 to 507 of the family's 1533-position model. The record is from RNAcentral.